GUCAUCAGUUCUUAAUCAUCUGAACUGCACUACAGCUCAAGCGACUUCAGUGAAUCGAGCGUUCCGUCCUUUUCAUUCGAUUCUCCAAGAUUAAUUUCUUUGAAAACUAUUGUGAAUAUCGCAAAACGCGCAAGAAUCAUUGGCAUACGAUUCGCUCGUCCGAGAACGGCAGUUAUCCCUGAUAGCCAAAUAUGAUUGAGCAUUUUGAGUAAACUUAUGCACAACAGGAAUAAAAAUCAGCUGAAAGGAUCUACAAAGUUUUUCAGCUCCUAUGGUGGUGAGGAUCAAAUUCAAGGUUUAUUCACUACUCUAGCUCAGUCAAAAUGAGUAUAGAUUUCGAUGCAUCUUAUACCGGACUGCUACUUGAUGAUUGGAUAGGUCAUCUACAGGAAGUGUUGAAGGAUGAACAAUCCAUUGAUAAAAAUGGCAUGGCCUUAAAAUUUCAAAUGAUCCAACAAUCCAUGGUCGAGGCAGCUUUUAAAAUAGGAGAACUUAUGGAAGUAUCAUCCCAAGCAAAAUAUAUGGCCAUUAUUUUAUAUGACGAUUAUAUGCACAAACAUUUCCGACAACGUUUUGAGACGGAAAUUACUACCAAUAAUCAACUAGAUCAACAAUUUGAUAAAAUUAGCAAUAGCAUGGCCAGUAAAGCAAAAUUAUCUCUCAUGUCAUGCUUCCAAUUAGCUUGUAAAAUGGAGUCUGCUUACGCUAAAUUACCAAUAUCGGAGGUUAUAGACAUCCUAAAUACCUUUGACAAAAACACUACGUACACACGUGAGAUGAUAAUUGCUUCUGAAUUCGAAGUUUUUGAAGCUGUGGGAUUCAAGAUACCCCUCAAGACACCAUUAAGUUGCGUUGAGCUUCUAUUAGCAGCAGUAAACUGCAAUACACCAGAAGACUAUGAACUUGGACAGAUAUUACUGGACAUAGCCUUUUUACAGGUACGAUUUCAAUAUAUUUCCUAUAAUUACCUCUCAAAAAAGAAAAUGAAAAUACACGCUAAGUAUACUCUAUAUGGAAUAUUUGACACACAACAUGUAUAUCCGCUUGUAUGCAGGUAAAGCUUUUCGAACAAAAUAAUAAAGUUCUUUUUCUUUUUUUCUUACUAUAGAGUUCAUCCUACCGUUUCCGAUGCUCAUAUUUUUUUUAUUUUUUAAUAACUAUUGCGAAAUUUGCAAAGUGGUAUAUGAAUACUGAAGUGGUACAUGAAUCUGUUCGAUUUAGUUUUCGCUAUAUACACGCAAAUAAUGUGUGUUUUCACUUUGUAUCAUAAUUUUGAACAGUAAUUUCUUUGCAGUAGAAUAUUUAUGCUCACAAGACGUACAAAAUAAAAAGGAAAAUAAUUGUCUAACUUAAUGGUUAAAAUUAUUAUUAUUUUUGGAGCGAUUUUCAAAGACUAUUUUUGCUUUAAAACUGCUCAUCCAUAUGGAGUCUCAGGAGUGGCAUGUUAUUUCUAUACAUUAUCAAUAUAUUUAUAUUAUUAUAGUUGCAGCACACACACAUACACAUGACAAUAGGUUUCCUUAUCAUUUAUAAAAUAACACGGACUUAAAGUCCGUGUAAAACAUAACUUUGUGGGUAGAUCUGUCGUUUUCUUUUAGUUGCUUAGUGGGGACUAGUAGCGAAUGAAACACAUACAUUGGUCAUCAAUAAAUGAGAACAGAAUAACGUGUAAUGAUGUGCAUACGGCAAAAUAAAUACAUAUUAAUUAACUUAGGUUAACUUACCUUAUUAUCUUACCUUAUUACCUUAUUACCUUAUUAGUUAACUUAGGUUAACUUACCUUAUUACCUUAUUAUAAUAAACUACUUAUUUUACAGAACUAUUUAUUUUACAGAAUUUCUCCUUCACAAUACAAGUGCUUUCUUUCCCUUAUGCUACGCAUUCCCCUCAUUUGGUUUCAUCCCCACUAUUCAUACUCUAGAGUAGGACCUAUCUAAAGGCUAUGUCUGUAUCGUAGAUGUCAUCACGUUGCCUCCUACGGCAAGGACUCAUAGAACCUGUCCUACCGCUUCUCGUGAGCUUAUUCGUUUAUAAAUUUUAAUUAAUUGCGGAAUAAAUAUUGAGAAAAUUUCAAAAUGUACGAAAAAUUGUACACUCAGUUUCGAG
Odontomachus brunneus is the source of this 2106-nucleotide RNA transcript. RefSeq lists it as uncharacterized. The record is from RefSeq and is a predicted model, not a curated record. NCBI's taxonomy places the organism in Eukaryota, Metazoa, Arthropoda, Insecta, Hymenoptera, Formicidae. The transcript has 7 exons.